AGAGUUUGAUCCUGGCUCAGAUUGAACGCUGGCGGCAUGCCUUACACAUGCAAGUCGAACGGCAGCACGGGAGCAAUCCUGGUGGCGAGUGGCGAACGGGUGAGUAAUACAUCGGAACGUGCCCAGUGAUGGGGGAUAGCCCGGCGAAAGCCGGAUUAAUACCGCAUACGACCUACGGGUGAAAGCGGGGGAUCGCAAGACCUCGCGUCAUUGGAGCGGCCGAUGUCAGAUUAGCUAGUUGGUGGGGUAAAAGCCUACCAAGGCGACGAUCUGUAGCUGGUCUGAGAGGACGACCAGCCACACUGGGACUGAGACACGGCCCAGACUCCUACGGGAGGCAGCAGUGGGGAAUUUUGGACAAUGGGGGCAACCCUGAUCCAGCCAUGCCGCGUGCGGGAAGAAGGCCUUCGGGUUGUAAACCGCUUUUGUCAGGGAAGAAACGGCUUGACCUAAUACGUCGAGCUAAUGACGGUACCUGAAGAAUAAGCACCGGCUAACUACGUGCCAGCAGCCGCGGUAAUACGUAGGGUGCAAGCGUUAAUCGGAAUUACUGGGCGUAAAGCGUGCGCAGGCGGCUUUGCAAGACAGAUGUGAAAUCCCCGGGCUCNNCCUGGGAACUGCAUUUGUGACUGCAAAGCUAGAGUACGGCAGAGGGGGAUGGAAUUCCGCGUGUAGCAGUGAAAUGCGUAGA
This 691-nucleotide ribosomal RNA is filed under the name uncultured bacterium. RNAcentral's name for it is "bacterial SSU rRNA". It matches the Rfam family "Bacterial small subunit ribosomal RNA", at positions 8 to 694 of the family's 1533-position model. The record is from RNAcentral.